This 1486-nucleotide ribosomal RNA is filed under the name Thismia huangii. RNAcentral's name for it is "16S ribosomal RNA". It matches the Rfam family "Bacterial small subunit ribosomal RNA". The record is from RNAcentral. Lineage: Eukaryota; Viridiplantae; Streptophyta; Magnoliopsida; Dioscoreales; Thismiaceae.
UUUAAAUGAGAGUUUGAUCCUAGCUCAGAAUGAACGCUAAAGACAUGCUUAACACAUGUAAGUUAGACUAUAAAUGUAUUAAAAUAUUUAAGUAGCGUAUUAAUGAGUAAUACAUAAGAACUAAUUUAUUUUUUAAUCUAAUUAUAAAAUAUAAAAAAAUUAUAAAAUAAAAAGGCUUAUGUCUAAUUAAUUAGUUGGUAAAGUAAAGGUUUACCAAAGUAAUAAUAAGUAGUUGAUUUGAGAAGAAAGAUCAACCAUAUGAUAUUUAUAUAUCAAACUUUUAUUAAAAAGUAGCAGUGAGGAAUUUUUCGCAAUAAGUUAAAACUUGACGAAUGUAAUGUCAUGUGAAAAUUAAAUUCUUUUGAAUAUAAAUUUCUUUUAGUUAAAAAAAUAUUUAUAGAUUGUAUUAAAAAAAAAAGCAUCGGCUAAUUUUGUGCCAGCAGCCGCGGUAAUACAAAGGAUGUUAGCGUUAUUCAAAAUUAUUGGACGUAAAGUGUCUGUAGAUAUUUUUUAAGUCUAUAAUUAAAAAUUAAAGCUUAACUUUAAUUAAGUAAAUUUAACAUAUAUUAAUAGAAACUAAUAAAUUAAUUUUAGAGUUUUAAUAAAAAAAAGUAUAAGGAAUUUUUAAUGUAAUAGUAAUAUAUAUAUAUAUUAAAAGGAACACCAAUGAUGAAAAUAUUAUACUAUAAAUAAAAUUUAAACUAACAUUGAGAGACGAAAGUUAUGGUAUCCAAUAGGAUUAGAAACCCUAGUAGUCUUAACUGUAAACGAUGGAUACUAUAAUAAAUAUUAAUUAAUUAAAUUAAAAUUAUUAUAAGCUAACGCAUAAAGUAUCUCGUCUGGGUAGUACGUUUGCAAAAAUGAAACUUAAAGGAAUUGACGGAGAUAUCAUACAAGUGAAGGGUCAUGUGGUUUAAUUUGAUGUAAAACAAAAAAUAUUACCAAAUUUAGUAUUAAAUUAUUAAAAAUAUAUUAUAUAAAAGGGAUUUAAAUUUUUAAUUAUUAUUAAUAUAUAAGUGGUGCAUGGCUGAUAUAAAUUUAUACUUUGAAGUUUUAAAUUUUAUAAAAAUUUAAUAAUAAAUAUAAAUAUUUUAUAUUUUAAUUUAUUAUAAUUAUUAUUUUAAUAUAAAUAAAAAAAUCAAGUCAUCAUGCCCUUAAUAUUUUGGGCUACACACAUGACACAUUUUUUGAAAUAAAAAUAAAAUUGUAAAAUUAAUAUAUUAAUAUAAAUUCAUUUUAUUUUAUAAAUUGUAAAUUGAAAUUUAUUUACAUGAAGUUGGAAUUACUAGUAAUCGUUUAUAAAAUAAAAAUUAAUAACGGUGAAUUUUAAUAUUUGAAUCUUGUACAUACCGCCCGUCACAUUAAAAUAAUUAAAUUAUAUUCAAAAAAUAAUUAAUUAAUUAAUUAUUUUAGUUUUAAUAUAAUAAUUUUAAUGAAGUCGUAACAAGGUAGUUUUACUGGAAAGUGUGGCUGGAUUUAAUCUUUU